Molecule: ribosomal RNA, 470 nt
Filed under: uncultured bacterium
Lineage: Bacteria
Description: bacterial SSU rRNA
Rfam family: Bacterial small subunit ribosomal RNA
Source: RNAcentral
CGCGAGCAACGCCGCGUGCGGGAAGAAGGCCUCGGGUUGUAAACCGCUGUCAGGAGGGACUAUGGCCACUGGGUGAACAGCCUAGAGGGUGACGGUACCUCCAGAGGAAGCCCCGGCUAACUACGUGCCAGCAGCCGCGGUAAUACGUAGGGGGCUAGCGUUGUCCGGAAUCAUUGGGCGUAAAGCGCGUGUAGGCGGCUUGGCAAGUCCGAUGUGAAAGCUCGGGGCUCAACCCCGAGUCUGCAUUGGGAACUGCCUUGCUUGAGUCCGGAAGAGGAGACUGGAAUUCUGGUGUAGCGGUGAAAUGCGCAGAUAUCAGGAAGAACACCGGUGGCGAAGGCGGGUCUCUGGGACGGUACUGACGCUGAGACGCGAAAGCGUGGGGAGCAAACAGGAUUAAGAUCCCUGGUAGUCCACGCCGUAAACGAUGGGCACUAGGUGUGGAAGGUGUCGACUCCUUCCGUGCCGUA